UAACUUUAAAUUAGGGCAGAAUCACCCUAUAUUGAAAGGGCUGGGUAACCAGCUAUGGCGAUAAACGGCCAGUGCAAUAAGCGAUGCGGACCCGGGGGCGGUACCCGGCGCCUCCACCAAUUUUAAAUCC
This 130-nucleotide transfer-messenger RNA is filed under the name Rhodospirillaceae bacterium. RNAcentral's name for it is "partial transfer-messenger RNA". It matches the Rfam family "Alphaproteobacteria transfer-messenger RNA", at positions 1 to 130 of the family's 355-position model. From Rfam's summary of the family: Bacterial tmRNA, also known as 10Sa RNA or SsrA, is named for its dual tRNA and mRNA-like properties. Its role is to liberate the mRNA from a stalled ribosome. To accomplish this part of the tmRNA is used as a reading frame that ends in a translation stop signal. The record is from RNAcentral. Lineage: Bacteria; Pseudomonadati; Pseudomonadota; Alphaproteobacteria; Rhodospirillales; Rhodospirillaceae.